UCUCCCUGAGACUUUAAGUCUCCUGAAGGAACGUUAAAGACGAUGACGUUGAUAGGCCGGGUGUGUAAGCGCAGCGAUGCGUUGAGCUAACCGGUACUAAUGAACCGUGAGGCUUAACCUU
Molecule: ribosomal RNA, 121 nt
Filed under: Klebsiella pneumoniae
Lineage: Bacteria; Pseudomonadati; Pseudomonadota; Gammaproteobacteria; Enterobacterales; Enterobacteriaceae
Description: partial 23S ribosomal RNA
Rfam family: Bacterial large subunit ribosomal RNA
Source: RNAcentral